GACGAACGCUGGCGGCGUGCUUAACACAUGCAAGUCGAACGGAAAGGCCCUGCUUUUGUGGGUUGCUCGAGUGGCGAACGGAUGAGUAACACGUGAGUAACCUGCCCUUGACUUUGGGAUAACUUCAGGAAACUGGGGCUAAUACCGGAUAGGAGCUCCUGCUGCAUGGUGGGGGUUGGAAAGUUUCGGCGGGUGGGGAUGGACUCGCGGCUUAUCAGCUUGUUGGUGGGGUAGUGGCUUACCAAGGCUUUGACGGGUAGCCGGCCUGAGAGGGUGACCGGCCACAUUGGGACUGAGAUACGGCCCAGACUCCUACGGGAGGCAGAAGUGGGGAAUAUUGCACAAUGGGCGGAAGACUGAUGCAGCAACGCCGCGUGCGGGAUGACGGCCUUCGGGUUGUAAACCGCUUUCGCCUGUGACGAAGCGUGAGUGACGGUAAUGGGUAAAGAAGCACCGGCUAACUACGUG
Molecule: ribosomal RNA, 468 nt
Filed under: uncultured bacterium
Lineage: Bacteria
Description: partial 16S ribosomal RNA
Rfam family: Bacterial small subunit ribosomal RNA
Source: RNAcentral